Molecule: ribosomal RNA, 286 nt
Filed under: uncultured bacterium
Lineage: Bacteria
Description: partial 16S ribosomal RNA
Rfam family: Bacterial small subunit ribosomal RNA
Source: RNAcentral
CCUACGGGGGGCAGCAGUGGGGGAUAUUGCACAAUGGGGGAAACCCUGAUGCAGCGACGCCGCGUGUAGGAAGACGGUCCUCUGGAUUGUAAACUACUGUCCCCAGGGACGAAGAUGACGGUACCUGGGGAGGAAGCUCCGGCUAACUACGUGCCAGCAGCCGCGGUAAUACGUAGGGAGCGAGCGUUGUCCGGAAUUACUGGGUGUAAAGGGAGCGUAGGCGGGGAUGCAAGUUGGGUGUUAAAUCUACCGGCUCAACUGGUAGUCGCACUCACACCCCCCCCCC